UGGGGAAUCUUGGACAAUGGGGGCAACCCUGAUCCAGCCAUGCCGCGUGAGCGAUGACGGCCUUAGGGUUGUAAAGCUCUUUCGCCAGGGAUGAUAAUGACAGUACCUGGUAAAGAAACCCCGCCUAACUCCGUGCCAGCAGCCGCGGUAAUACGGAGGGGGUUAGCGUUGUUCGGAAUUACUGGGCGUAAAGCGCGCGUAGGCGGAUUGGAAAGUUGGGGGUGAAAUCCCGGGGCUCAACCCCGGAACUGCCUCCAAAACUAUCAAUCUAGAGUUCGAGAGAGGUGAGUGGAAUUCCGAGUGUAGAGGUGAAAUUCGUAGAUAUUCGGAGGAACACCAGUGGCGAAGGCGGCUCACUGGCUCGAUACUGACGCUGAGGUGCGAAAGUGUGGGGAGCAAACAGGAUUAGAUACCCGCGUAGUCC
RNAcentral lists this ribosomal RNA (424 nucleotides) under uncultured prokaryote. RNAcentral's name for it is "bacterial SSU rRNA". It matches the Rfam family "Bacterial small subunit ribosomal RNA", at positions 355 to 796 of the family's 1533-position model. The record is from RNAcentral.